GAUGAACGCUGGCGGCGUGCCUAAUACAUGCAAGUCGAGCGAACGGACGAGAAGCUUGCUUCUCUGAUGUUAGCGGCGGACGGGUGAGUAACACGUGGAUAACCUACCUAUAAGACUGGGAUAACUUCGGGAAACCGGAGCUAAUACCGGAUAAUAUUUUGAACCGCAUGGUUCAAAAGUGAAAGACGGUCUUGCUGUCACUUAUAGAUGGAUCCGCGCUGCAUUAGCUAGUUGGUAAGGUAACGGCUUACCAAGGCAACGAUGCAUAGCCGACCUGAGAGGGUGAUCGGCCACACUGGAACUGAGACACGGUCCAGACUCCUACGGGAGGCAGCAGUAGGGAAUCUUCCGCAAUGGGCGAAAGCCUGACGGAGCAACGCCGCGUGAGUGAUGAAGGUCUUCGGAUCGUAAAACUCUGUUAUUAGGGAAGAACAUAUGUGUAAGUAACUGUGCACAUCUUGACGGUACCUAAUCAGAAAGCCACGGCUAACUACGUGCCAGCAGCCGCGGUAAUACGUAGGUGGCAAGCGUUAUCCGGAAUUAUUGGGCGUAAAGCGCGCGUAGGCGGUUUUUUAAGUCUGAUGUGAAAGCCCACGGCUCAACCGUGGAGGGUCAUUGGAAACUGGAAAACUUGAGUGCAGAAGAGGAAAGUGGAAUUCCAUGUGUAGCGGUGAAAUGCGCAGAGAUAUGGAGGAAUACCAGUGGCGAAGGCGACUUUCUGGUCUGUAACUGACGCUGAUGUGCGAAAGCGUGGGGAUCAAACAGGAUUAGAUACCCUGGUAGUCCACGCCGUAAACGAUGAGUGCUAAGUGUUAGGGGGUUUCCGCCCCUUAGUGCUGCAGCUAACGCAUUAAGCACUCCGCCUGGGGAGUACGACCGCAAGGUUGAAACUCAAAGGAAUUGACGGGGACCCGCACAAGCGGUGGAGCAUGUGGUUUAAUUCGAAGCAACGCGAAGAACCUUACCAAAUCUUGACAUCCUUUGACAACUCUAGAGAUAGAGCUUUCCCCUUCGGGGGACAAAGUGACAGGUGGUGCAUGGUUGUCGUCAGCUCGUGUCGUGAGAUGUUGGGUUAAGUCCCGCAACGAGCGCAACCCUUAAGCUUAGUUGCCAUCAUUAAGUUGGGCACUCUAAGUUGACUGCCGGUGACAAACCGGAGGAAGGUGGGGAUGACGUCAAAUCAUCAUGCCCCUUAUGAUUUGGGCUACACACGUGCUACAAUGGACAAUACAAAGGGCAGCGAAACCGCGAGGUCAAGCAAAUCCCAUAAAGUUGUUCUCAGUUCGGAUUGUAGUCUGCAACUCGACUACAUGAAGCUGGAAUCGCUAGUAAUCGUAGAUCAGCAUGCUACGGUGAAUACGUUCCCGGGUCU
This 1372-nucleotide ribosomal RNA is filed under the name uncultured bacterium. RNAcentral describes it as "bacterial SSU rRNA". It matches the Rfam family "Bacterial small subunit ribosomal RNA", at positions 28 to 1381 of the family's 1533-position model. The record is from RNAcentral.